GCACCCGUAGCUCAAUUGGAUAGAGCAUAUGACUACGGAUCAUAAGGCUGGGGGUUCGACUCCCUCCGGGUGUACCA
RNAcentral lists this transfer RNA (77 nucleotides) under Rickettsia endosymbiont of Culicoides impunctatus. Its description in RNAcentral is "tRNA-Arg". It matches the Rfam family "tRNA". From Rfam's summary of the family: Transfer RNA (tRNA) molecules are approximately 80 nucleotides in length. RNAcentral also lists the same sequence under 2 other names. Lineage: Bacteria; Pseudomonadati; Pseudomonadota; Alphaproteobacteria; Rickettsiales; Rickettsiaceae. The record is from RNAcentral.